GCGCCCAUAGCUCAACUGGAUAGAGCGCCAGUCUUCGGAACUGGAUGUUGCAGGUUCAAUUCCUGCUGGGCGCGCCA
This 77-nucleotide transfer RNA is filed under the name Candidatus Omnitrophota bacterium. Its description in RNAcentral is "tRNA-Arg". It matches the Rfam family "tRNA". Rfam says of the family: Transfer RNA (tRNA) molecules are approximately 80 nucleotides in length. Their secondary structure includes four short double-helical elements and three loops (D, anti-codon, and T loops). Further hydrogen bonds mediate the characteristic L-shaped molecular structure. tRNAs have two regions of fundamental functional importance: the anti-codon, which is responsible for specific mRNA codon recognition, and the 3' end, to which the tRNAs corresponding amino acid is attached (by aminoacyl-tRNA synthetases). tRNAs cope with the degeneracy of the genetic code in two manners: having more than one tRNA (with a specific anti-codon) for a particular amino acid; and 'wobble' base-pairing, i.e. permitting non-standard base-pairing at the 3rd anti-codon position. The record is from RNAcentral. Lineage: Bacteria; Pseudomonadati; Candidatus Omnitrophota.